UCUCGGCAACGGAUAUCUCGGCUCUCGCAUCGAUGAAGAACGUAGCGAAAUGCGAUACCUGGUGUGAAUUGCAGAAUCCCGCGAACCAUCGAGUCUUUGAACGCAAGUUGCGCCCGAGGCCAUUCGGNCGAGGGCACGCCUGCCUGGGCGUCACGCAAAACACGCUC
Molecule: ribosomal RNA, 167 nt
Filed under: Calamagrostis lapponica
Lineage: Eukaryota; Viridiplantae; Streptophyta; Magnoliopsida; Poales; Poaceae
Also listed under: 1 other name
Description: 5.8S ribosomal RNA
Rfam family: 5.8S ribosomal RNA
About the family: 5.8S ribosomal RNA (5.8S rRNA) is a component of the large subunit of the eukaryotic ribosome.
Source: RNAcentral